Molecule: ribosomal RNA, 400 nt
Filed under: phytoplankton environmental sample
Lineage: Eukaryota
Description: partial small subunit ribosomal RNA
Rfam family: Eukaryotic small subunit ribosomal RNA
Source: RNAcentral
AGCUUCAAAAGUAUAUGUUAACAAUGCUGCAAUUAAAAAGUUCAUAGUCGAACUUUUCAGAUUUUUAUUUUUAUGAGGUCAUAAUGAAUUGUAAAGAAGUUGAUUUAUCUUAAGUUAUAUAGUCUUACUCUGUUAGCAUUAAUUUUCUGACAGUAAUUAAAGUUAUUUUUACUUUGAAAAAAUUAGAGUGUUCUAAGCAGUCGUACGAUAUUAUUCCAAAACAAGGAAUGAUAAGUAAUGAUGUUAGUUAAUUUUUAAUGGUUAGAGAGGUUGAUGUAAUUACUUAUAAAGUUUUUCGGAGGGAUUAGUAUUUUGUCGUUAGAAGUGAAAUUCUUGGAUUGUAAAAAGAUUAACUACAGCAAAUGCAUUUAUCUAGGAUAUAUUUCUUUAUCAAGAACGA